GACGAACGCUGGCGGCGUGCUUAACACAUGCAAGUCGAACGGUAAGGCCCUUCGGGGUACACGAGUGGCGAACGGGUGAGUAACACGUGGGUGAUCUGCCCUGCACUUCGGGAUAAGCCUGGGAAACUGGGUCUAAUACCGGAUAGGACUCCGGACUGCAUGGUCUGGGGUGGAAAGCUUUUGCGGUGUGGGAUGGGGCCGCGGCCUAUCAGCUUGUUGGUGGGGUGAUGGCCUACCAAGGGGACGACGGGUAGCCGGCCUGAGAGGGUGACCGGCCACACUGGGACUGGGAUGAGGCCCAGACUCCUACGGGAGGCAGCAGUGGGGAAUAUUGCACAAUGGGCGCAAGCCUGAUGCAGCGACGCCGCGUGAGGGAUGACGGCCUUCGGGUUGUAAACCUCUUUCAGCAUCGACGAAGCGAAAGUGACGGUAGGUGCAGAAGAAGGACCGGCCAACUACGUGCCAGCCGCCGCCGUAA
RNAcentral lists this ribosomal RNA (478 nucleotides) under uncultured bacterium. RNAcentral describes it as "partial 16S ribosomal RNA". It matches the Rfam family "Bacterial small subunit ribosomal RNA", at positions 28 to 523 of the family's 1533-position model. The record is from RNAcentral.